Long non-coding RNA from Homo sapiens (human), 15902 nucleotides. RefSeq annotates it as OXR1 antisense RNA 1. The record is from RefSeq and is a predicted model, not a curated record. NCBI's taxonomy places the organism in Eukaryota, Metazoa, Chordata, Mammalia, Primates, Hominidae. The transcript is spliced from 2 exons.
ACUUAGCUUGUCACAUAGGUGUAUUCUUCCUGGAACCGAUGCGGGGUCAGAAAACUGAUGGCUUUUAAGCAAGCUGGACGGGUCCUCUCAGCGCAUUCCCCCACCCGCCUGGCGCCAAUGGAGCUGGCCUGGCCCGCCCAGCCCCUCCCCGCCCCGUCCGCGCUCGGACCGGACUUUCAGGACUGCAGGGGAAAGGGUGGACACCCAGCCUCCCGCCAGGUCAGAGCAGAGGCUAAAAAUGGCCCAGGGGAGACUGCUGGAGUUGCAUGGAGUUCGGGAGCCUAGGAGGGGUCUGAAAAUAACUGUCAAAAAGUUUGAAGGGUGUGUGUUGGCUUGGGGAAAAAAGAGGGUGGAGUGCAUUACAUAAAACUUUUGCAGCUUGUAUUUCCUUUUUUUUUUUUUAUGUUUAAGGACGGCGGAGAUACCUUCAACGUAAGACUGCAAUCAUAAUUAAAACAUGAAUAGUAACAUUUUAAGUUCGUUGUGCCAUUAUGAACUCAUGUUAGUGUUGGACAUUCUAUGAUCCCAGUCCUGUUUAGGCAACGUUAUUGAGGGAUUUAGUUUGCGGAUCUACCUUUCAGGGACAAAGAACCUAGACAGGGAAAGAACAGUAACUUUUGACAGAAAUUUUGCUUCCUGUGAGAUGUGGUUAUUCUCUUCCUUUCACAUCUGUUUGUAGUUCUUUUAGUUUUCCCAGGCAUUAAAUAAAUUAAACCCUCUUUCUUGGAAUCACCAAUAUAUUAAUAUAUUGGGGGGAAAAAGAUUUGAAUUACUUAGGAAGUUGAUGAACUACCCACUCCAACAAUAGAGCCCUGAAAAUCAGGCUUAAGCUUUUGGCCAUACUACUAAAGACUAUCCCUCCUGACAAACACACACCCUCUUUUUUUUUUUUUUUUUUUAACUGGUUGACAGAUCUUUUUUGCAUCAUCACCAUUUUCAGUUUAGAUUCUUACUAGGUGGGAUAAAUUUCACCAUUCUAAUAUCAGCCAUCACCAUUAUGCCUGGUGAAAAAUACAGAAUGUCUGGGCUGCAUCCUCAGAGUGUCUAAUUCGGUGUUUAUGGGAAAGGGACCCAGGAGAAUCUGCAUACCCAGCAAUCCAUGUUUUCAGGGUUGUGGCUUGGGAAAGAACUGUUCCAGACUUCUGCACUUCCUAAGGACCUAUUUUGUAGAUGUUGCAGUGGACGGAAUGUUUGUGCUUUCCCUUAAAUUCAUUUGUUAAAAUCCUAACCCCAAUGUGAUGGUAUUAGGAGAUGGGGCCUUUGGGAGGUAAUUCAUAGCAUAGAGGCCGCAUGAAUGCGAUUAGUGCCCUUAUAAAAAAGGGACCCAGAGAGCUGUCUCCAUCUUUCUGCCACAGGAGGAUACAAAAAUACAUCAGUUUGCAAACCAGAAGAAGGUCCUCACCAGAAACCAACUAUGCUGGCACCCUGAUCUUGGACUUCUAGCCUCCAGAACUGUGAGAAAUAAAUGUGUGUUUAUAAACCAGUCAGUCAGUCUAUGGUGCUUUAUUAUAGCAUCUGGAACGAGCUAAGACAGCUGCUAAGUAGCAUUCCAUUUGACAAGGAAGACUUACCAUUCACACUACUUCUGAGUUCAAUGAAAGAGAGGCUCGGUAAGUUUUAAAAAUCAAAUUUCAAUGACUUAGUCUAAUUCUCAUUAAUAAUUUAAAUUAUUUUUCUAAGAUAUGUUUUACAUCUUCUAAAAAUUUACCGGUUUGUUAUAAGCAUAUCCAAUUAAUGCUUGAGAUUUUACCUGAUUAGAUCUGCACUUUUACAUCCAACAUUUGCAGGAAGCUUCAUUCUACCAGUUCAAAUCCAGAUUUACAGGUAGUUAACCCAUCUGUUUUGGGUUUUUUUUCUGCUUCUAUUUCAUAGAAGGCUAGAGCUGCUGGAGAAAAAUGUAUAACCUUGAUGACUGAAUGCCUUACAAUCUUUGAUUUAAACUCGGCUGAGUCGUAAUGUCUCUAAAAUCCUUCUAUUCAUAUAGUCAGUGUUCUCUUUUAUUCUCUGUAUUUGUUGUCUGAACUGUCAUCAUUAUCCUAAAGUUACCAAAUUCAUCACUUGAACAUGUUACUUUGCCUUCUACAUGACCCAGAAAAUCAUAGGCCAUCAAAUAUGAACAUUCAUUUUUCUUUCCUUUUUCUCUUCAAUCUACAUCAAGUUGCUCUCCCUACCUUGCUUUAGAAGGAGGUCUUUAUUCCUGUCCAUGCCUUUCUUCCAGAUUUUCUUUUGAUAGUCUAAUUAUGUUGUCUGUGACUUGCCAGCUUUAUUAUUCCUCUCUGUUCCUUUUCACUAUAUUUCCUUUCCUCUUAUCCUUCCUCUAUCAGCCACAUAAGUCACUCAGCCUUAAAAAAAGCUUGCUUAUAUGCCAUGCCUGCUUUUUCACGCUACCUUUUGCCUCAUUAAAAAAAAAAAACUUUAUUCAUAUGUAAUUUAAGUACUGUAAAAUUCACGUGUUAAAAUUAUAUAGUUCACCUGAUAACAAUUCAGGGUUAUAAAGCCAUCAUCAAAAUGUAAUCUUUGAACCUGAGCAUUUCCAUCACCACAAAAAGAAACUUUUUACCAUCUGUAGUCACUCCCCAGUCACACUUGCAGCCCUAGGCAACCACUAGUCUAUUUCUGCCUCGGUGGAUUUGCCUUUUAUAGACAUUUCAUAUAAUGCUUGGUCUUUGGGGUCUGGCUUCUUUCACUUAAUGUUUCUGAGGCUUCUUCAUGUUGUAACAUGUAUUGGUACUUCAUUCCUUCUUACCACCAAAUAACAUUACUUUGUAUAAGAUAUACCACAUUUUAUUGAUCCGUUCAUCCAUUGAUGGAUAUUUGGAUUGUUCAUACCUUGCAGCUAUUGUGAAUAAUGUAGGAACAUCUAGGUAAUUAAGUUUUUUUGUUGACCUGUUUUCAUUUCACAUAUAUACAUAGAAGUGAAACUGCUGGGUCAAAAUGGUGGCUUUCAAUGUACAAAAAGGUUUAAUUUUGAUGAAGUCCAAAUUUAUCAAUAUUUUUAUCACAUCCGUGCUUUGCAUUGUAUCUAAGAAAUCACUGACUAAUCCAAAGUUCGAAGAUUAACUAUUAUGUUUUUUCUAUGAGUUUUAUUUUAUUUAGCUCUUAUAUUAGGUCUUUGAUCUAACAUAGGACUUUGAUCUAAUAUAGGUCUAAUAUAGAUCUUUGAUCUUAUAUAGGUCUUUGAUCUAUGUUGGGUUAAUUUUCAGGUUUGAUGUGAGGAAGUGGUCCAAAUUCAUUCUUUUAUGUGUGGCUAUCCAGUUGUUCCAGCACCAUUUAUUGAAAAGAUGAUUUUUCCCCCAUUGUCUUUGCAUCUUUAUCAAAAAUUAAUUGACCUUAAAUACAAGGUUUUAUUUCUGGACUCUCAAUUCUAUUCCUAAACCCAUGCCAAUACCAUGCUAUCUCGAUUACUGUAGCUUUGUAGUAAGUUUUGAAAUUGGAAAGUGUGAGUCUUCCCAUUUUGUUCUUCAUUUUGAAGAUUGUUUUGGCUAUUUUGAAUCCUUUUCAUUCCAUAUGAAUUUUAGGAUUACCUUGUCAAUUUCUUCAAAGAAAAAAGUCAGUUGUAAUUUUGAUAGGGAUUGCAUUAAAUCAGUAGAUCAAUAUGGGAAGUAUUGCUAUAUCUUCUAUAAACAAAAGGAUGUCUUUCCAUUUAGGUAGAUCUUCAGUUGCUUUCAGCAAUGUUUUGUGCUUUUCAUUGUAUAAAUCUUGUACUUUUUUGUGACAUACAUUAAUAAGUGUUUUAUUUUUUGUUGAUAUUGUGAAUAGAUUUUUUUUAGAUUGCCAUUGCUAGUAUACAGAAAUAAAAUUGAUUUUUGAAUACUGUUCUUGUAUCUUACAACCUUGCUGGACUCAUUAAUAAAUUCUAUUCAUUGUUAAAUGGAUUUCUUAACAUUUUCUCUAUAUAAGUACAUGUUUUCUGUAAAUAAAGGUGGUUUUGUUUUUUCCCUUCCAAUUCAGGUGCCUUUUUUUCUUGCCUAAUUGCCCUGGUUAGAACUUUCAGUACAAUAUUAAAUAGAAGUUGUGAGAGCAGAUAUCGUUUUAUUCCUGAAUUUGGAGAAAAUGCAUUGAGUCUUUCACAAUUAAAUAUGAUAUUAUACAUCGUUUUUUUGUAGAUGCCCUUACUCUAGUUUAGGAAGCACCAUUCUAUUCCUAAUUUCUAAUUUUUUUGUCAUAAAUGACGUUAGAUUUUGUCAAAUGCUUUUUCUGCUUCUGUUGAUAUAAUAUUGUGCUUUUUGUCCUUUAUCCUGUUAAUAUAGUGUUUGCAUUAAUUAAUAUUUGUAUAUUAAAUGAACCUUGCCUUCCUUAGAUAACCUUCAGAAUGUAUAAUAUGAUGCUUGAUUUGGUUUGUUGGUAUUCUGUUGAUUAUUUUUUGUCUAUAUUCAUAAUAGAUAUUACAUUGGUUUAUACUUUUCUUCCCUUGUGAUAUCCUCGUCUGGCUUUGGUAUUUGGGUAAUACUGGCCUUUGACAAUGAAUUGAGAAGUAUGCCAUCCUUUUCACUUUUUUGGAAGAGUUUCUGAAGGAUUGUUACUAAUCAUUCUUUAAAUGUUUGGUAGAAUUCACCAUUGAAGCCAUCUGGCUCUAGGCUUUUCUUUCUGGUAAUAUUUUAAAUUACUAUAAUCAUUUACCAUAUAUAUAUAUAUAUUUUUUUUUUUUUCUAUUUCUCCUUGUGUCAGUCAGUUUUGGUAGUUUUGUCUUUCUAGGAAUUUGUUCAUUUAAUGUAAGUCAUCUAAUUUGUUGUUCAUAGUAUUCCUUUAUAAUCCUGUUCAUUUCUCUGAUUUAUAUUAAUAUCAGCUCUUUUACUCCUAAUUUUAGUAAUUUGAGUCAUCUCUGUUUUUUUCUUGCUCGAUCUAAAUCUUUGUCAAUUUUGUUGCUCCUUGCAGAGAGCCAACUUGAGGUUUCAUUAAUGAGGUUUCUCUAAUGUUUUUCUAUUUCCUAUUCCAUUAAUAUCCAUGCUAAUCUUUAUAAUUUCCUUCUAUUUGUUUUGUGUUUAGUAUCUUCUAUUUCCCCCCGCCGCCCCCCAACCUCCCUAGUUUCAUAAGGCAGAAGGUUAGGCUAUUGAUUUGAAAUCUUCUUUUUUUUUAAUAAUAUAGGUUUUUACAGCUACAUACCUCAUUAGUUCUGUCCCACAAAUUUUGGUAUAUUGUACUUUAGUUUUUAUUUAUCUCAAAGUAAUUUUCCUUAUGACUUAUUAUUUGACUCAUUGGCUAUUUAGGAGUAUGUUGUUUAAUUUCCACAUGUUUGUGAAUUUCCCAAAUUUCUUUGUGUUUUUGACUUCUAACUUAAUUUUACUGUAGUUAGAGAACAUACUUGGUACAAUUCCCCCAUCCUUUCAAAAUCAUUGAGUUUUUUUAUGGCCUAGUUUAUAGUCUAUCCUGGAUAAUAUUCCAUUUCCUUCAUUUUUAAGGCCUUCCAUUCAUCACUGAAUUUCUUGAAAAUCCAUAUUUGCUGCCUCUCUUAAGCUCCUACCCAAGCUCACUCUCAGCAAAUUGUCAUCCAUUCAUUCAGCUUUAGUAAAUGCCUACUCAGCACUAAGAUAGAGAGUCCCUAUUUCUAUGGCACUUUCAAGCUGAUGUUACACUCCCAAAGAUCACCAGUGCCAGCACAAGAUGUUUUUGUGCGAUUAGAAAGAGAUACCCCUGCAAAUAGACACAUUACAAAAAGGCAUCUCUAAUCCAAAAAUGAAAUUAAGAAAAUAAUUCCAUUUAUAGUAGCAUCAAAAAGACAAAAAUACUUAGAAAUAAAUCUAUCCAAGGAGGAGCAAGACAUUUACUGAAAAAUACAAAACAUAAUUGAAAGAAGUUAAAGAAAAUCUAAAUAAAUGGAAAGACAUCCCAUAUACAUGGACUAGAAAACUUAAUAUUGUUAAAAUGGCAAUUCAGAAAUCAAUAUACAGAUGCAAUACACUCCCUAUCAAAAUUCCCCUGUUUUAUUUACAGAUAUGGAAAAUCCCAUCCUCAAAUUCAUAUAGAAUUGCAAGGAACCCCAAAGAACCAACACAAUAUUUAAAAAGAAAAACAGAGUUGGGGGACUCAUACUUCCCAAUUUCAAAACUUUCUUCAAAGCUACAGUAAUCAAAAACCGUAGUACUGGCGUAAGAAUAGAUGUACAGAUUGAUGAAAUAUAAUUCAGGGUUCAGAAGUAAACACAUACAUUUAGGGAAAACAGACUGAUUUUCAACAAUGAUGCCCAGGCCAUUUAAUGGGGAAAAAUAGUGGCUUCAAUAAAUGGUGCAGUAACAACUCCAUAUUCACAUACAAAAGAAUGAGAUUAAACCCUUACCUCACACCGUGGACAGAAAUGAACUCAGAAUAGAUUAAAGACAUAAGUGUAUGACUUAAAACUAUUAAAUUCCUAGAAGAAAACAUAAGGUGAAUCUUCAUGAUCUUGGAAUUGGCAGUGGACUCAGAGAUUACACCAAAGGCAUAAACAACAAAUUUGCUUCAUUACUAAUAAGAGGAAUGCAAAUAUCUGCCAAUAAAUACCAUUUUCUUCUAUCAGGAUGGUGAAGAUCAAAAAGUUUCAAGCCAUUUUGCUAACAGUGGGUGGAAACUACCACUUUCAUAUAUUACUAGUAGGGGAGCGAAUAAUGGUACUACCGUUUUGCAGGAUCAUCAAAGAGGGUCAUUUUGCAGGAUCUAUCAACAUUUUUAAAGCACACUCCUUUUGACUCAGUGUCCUCACUUCUUGAUAUUUAUCCUACUGAUGUAUGAAAUGAUGCAAUUUUCUAUUUGCAAUAGCAAAAUGUUGAAAAUAACCUAAGUGGUGACUAAUAAGGAAAUGAUUAAAUACAAUAUGACAUGUCUAUAUAAUGGAAUAUUAUUCAGCCAUUAAAAAUAACUACACAGUUCCUGGUAUAACUGAUUAUGAAAGAAUCUUGAGAAAAGUAUUUUUAAGGGGGAAAGGAAGAUAUAGAACACCACAUGUCGUAUGCUUCAAUUUUUGAAAACAAUGUGAAGUAUGUGUAGUUAUCCACAUACAAAUAAAACAUUUCUGUUAGUAUAUAUAAGAACCUAGUAAUGGUGGUUGCUUUCUGAGAAAAGAAGUGGGUGGCUUAGGGUGUGAUGAGAGAGAGCCUUAAUUUUCACUGUGUGUAUAAUAUGCAUGUAUCACCUAUUCGAAAAUGAUUUUUUAAGUUAAAAAGGACCUGUUUCCCAUAAGCCCAUUCUAUCUUGUAGGAGCUUGCUAGACUGUCCACUGCCAAUCUGACUGUCAUUCAGCUCCUAUGAAAGGCAUUUGAGAUAGACUGCAUUUCUCAAUCAUCAGUAAGAAAAAUGUGAUCUUUCUUAAGUUGUCUAAGAGUUACAGGCAUAUCAAGUUAGGUCAUCUGCAGUCAGUAUACCUAAGGCAUGUCUCAUCAUUGAGAACAUGGGCCCUUAGUCUAACUUCAGAUCCUGGCUUUGCCACUUACUAGCAGCGUAAUGGGAAAGUAACUGACUUAGCCUCUCUCUCCCUCAGGUUCCUUACCUGUAAAAUAGAGAUCAUAUAGAGAUGUCGGGAAGAUUUAAUAACAUCAUGCAAGCAAUAUGCCUACAAGAGUGCCUGUAAAACAUUAAGCCUUGGUAAAUGUGAGCUAUAAUGCUUCCUAUAAAAUACCUUAUCAAGUUAUACCAUUAGUGUUAUAUUCUGAAUUUUAUUGAAGUUCAACGCAAGAAAUAAUUGUGUGAGGAACUGAUAUUGAAGACAUUAUUCAUUAUGUUGUUAUUUAGUGUAUAUAAUUAAAAAAUAUUUUUGGCCAGGUGCGGUGACUCACACCUGUAAUCCCAGCACUUUGGGAGGCCAAGGUGGGCGGAUCAUGAAGUCAGGAGGUCGAGACCAUUCUGGCUAACACAGUGAAACCCUGUCUCUACUAAAAAUACAAAAAAUUAGCUGGGCGUGGCGGUGGGUGCCUGUAGUCCCAGCUAUUUGGGAGGCUGAGGCAGGAGAAUGGCGUGAACCUGGGAGGCAGAGGUUGCAGUGAGCCGAGACCGCGCCACUGCACUCCAGCCUGGGCGACAGAGCGAGACUCCAUCUCAAGUAUAUAUAUAUAUAUAUUUUUGACAGAUAUUUAGAAUUUUAUGUCAGGAAAAAUCCUUGUGAAGACAGGACAGGCAUUCAUUAACCAGAUAAUACGUGUUAUUAUCUUGUCUUAAGUUUCAAAUACAAUGACCAUCUUUUCUUUUUUUUUUUUUUCCAAAAAAGUAGAACUACCUUGCCAUUUCCUUUGCUUAGUAAUUUCUGGUCUCAUUGAAAUUAUUAUUUUUUACUAGAUGUUUAAAUUAAAAGGACAAUAUAUAACUGGGUACAUGCAUAUGGGAAAACAAAACUAUAGUACAGAAGGCUAUAUAAUAGUAAAUUUGUUACAUCCUUCCUGAAUCAACCUCCACAGCUUUGUGUAUAUCCUUCUGUAAAUUUUGUAUGCAUAUAUUUACAUAGGGAUUAGUAUGUGUAUAUAUGCAUGUGUGUUUCUUUAAAAAAAAAACCCACACAAAUGGGAACAUAUUGUGUCCACAAUUUUGUUGUUGUUGUUGUUGUUUUCUUGUUUGAGAUAGGGUCUUACUCUGUUGUCCAGGCUGGCAUGCAGUGGUGUGAUCAGGGCUCACUGCAUCCUCGACCUCCUGGGAUCAAUCCAUCCUCCUGCCUCAGCCUCCUAAGUAGCUGGGACCAUAGGCACAUGCUAUCACACCCAACUAAUUAUUGUAGUUUUUGUAGAGACAGGGUUUUGCCAUGUUGCCCAGCCUGUUCUUCAACUCCUGGGCUCAAACGAUCUGCAUGCCUCUGCUUCCCAAAAUGCUGUGAUUACAGGCAUGAGCCAAGAUGCCUGGCCAAUGUCCAUAGUUUUAUACAAAUAUUUUUACUUCACUUUGUCUUAGACACCUUUCCAUAUCAAUUUCUAUUAGUUCUCCUUCAUUCUUUUUACAGUUUCCGAGUUCAAUUUAUUAUUAUCUGUUGAAAAAGCCUUUUGUUGUUAGUUGCUAGAAUAUUUAAUUUAAUUACAUCACAUUUACUUCCAAAAAAAAUGUAGGAGCUAAAAACUCACUGGAAAGCAACUAUUAAUAAGUUGGAAACUUGUGCACUACUAUAUGUAGGUUAUUUAGUUAAACCACUCCCCAAAAUGCUUUAAGAAAUUCUGCCCCUGCCCCCGCAGCACUAUUCCUUAAAGGAAACAUUGUUCUUUUAAUUGUGGAAUCUUAAGUAGAAAACUUUCAAGUAAGACAAUGAUUUCUGAAAAUAUGAAGAAAAAUGACAUGAAAACUAGGCAAAUGGCUCUGAUUUUAUAUUUUUAUACUAAAAGAAUAUCAUCAGUAACCUAAAAAUAAUUAGAACCAGAUUAACAAAAACAUUGGUUUGUAAUGUUUAUAUUUUCUUAAUUGUUAGAUGAAUUAAAUGAUUCCUAUUUUAAGGGGACUAUUCUUUGAUUGCUUGUUUACAUUGGCUAAUGACUGAAGUUCUGUUUAAUGUUCAAUCUUCUCAAUCUUUUUAUUCCUGCCCCAGCUCCUAUCUCUGUCAGUCAUCCUAUAUACCAAGCUCUCUGAAUUCAAGCUCACUUCUUUAUCUUUUACUGAAGAUGACAUGAAAUGGUUUUUCUACUAACAACCAUCCCCUGGCAUACUUCCUGAUUCACUAAAACUAUUAUGAGUAGCCACAACAUUGUGUUCAUUACAUUUUAAAAUACUUUUUAACACAGAUAAAAUUAUUGAAUUUUAGGAAAUAAAAGAAGCAGAACUGUAACAUCCUGAGAAAACACAGAGACAUUGAAGUAUAUGAGCACGACACAUCUGCAAAUCUUUAAGCAAAAUGAUUUCUUUUCCUGCCUGCACUUUCUUUGAGGUUGCAGUAGAGAGUGUGUGUCUACAGAAGGUACUGUAUGCAUAGCUAUAAGGAGGUCUUACCCUCUGUCUUUUUAUCUUUCUGGGCCCUUCUUUACCCUUGUUCUUCCUCUUCUCCUCUCUUAAUUCUAUAAUGGGUCUUCACAUAUUGCUGUACCUUCUCAUGUUACUUGAAUAGAAUUUUGAUACUUAAUCUGAAAAGCUGAUAAGUGAAAACAUUUGUUUUGUGGUAUAUUAAGUACUUUAUUGAAAUUAUUAAUUUCACAUAUUUUAAAGUUAUAUAGCUUUUAGCUAAUUUUUUGGAUAAUUUCCCUAUCUUUGUUUUUAUUAAAGAUAAUAGGGCCAAGCGCGGUGGCUCAUGCCUGUAAUUCCAGCACUUUGGGAAUCUGAGGUGAGCAGAUCACCCUGAGGUCAGGAGUUUGAGACCAGCCUGGCCAACAUAGCGAAAACCAAUCUCUACUAAAAAUUACAAAAAUUAGUCAGGCUUGGUGGUGUGCACCUGUAAUCCCAGCUACUUGGGAAACUGAGGCAGGAGAAUCGUUUGAACUUGGGGGGCGGAGGUUGCAGUGAGCCGAGAUCACGCCACUGCACUCUAGCCUGGGCAACAGAGUGAGACUCUGUCUCAAAAAAAGAAAAAAAAAAGAUAAUAGAGAAAAAAGAAGAUGAACAGGCAAAAUAAUAUUGGAAAAACCUAAAUCUGUUGCCAGCACAUUUCCAGCUUUAACCUGUAACCAGUAGUUAGGUAGUUUUUUGUUGUUGUUGUUCCUUCUGUUGGGGGAAAGUCUAUAACUGGGGCUGUGUCAAUACAAGAUGAAAUGAAGUACAAUAAAAAGAGAGCCUACCUAUAAGUUCAUCCAUCUCAGAGAAAGUGCUGGGCAGCAAUGACAAAUUUUUAUCAAUUGUCCAAAUGUUUCAGCCAUGAUGCAUGAACAGCAAACUCCUAAGUGCUGUACAUAAUGUUUGAAAGGAAUAGAACUUAUUCCUCUUCCCAAAGUAGAUGGGAGUUCCCUAACUCCCCACCUCCCCAUACCAAACACAAUCUGGGAAAGAUGCUAAUAUCCCCAGGUGAAUCAGCCCAAAGGCAGUCAGCAUAUAGGAAGAGAAAUUCAAACCUAGAUGGUCAAUCUUUAAAUGAUCCAGCACUGACUAGACAGGUUUAGUUUUCAAGCAGAAUCAUGCACUGGUCAUUUUCUUCUGUUGCAGAUCUACUCUAAAUUCUCAAGUCUUCCUAGAGAACAGUAGACACAGCAAUAUAACCAGAUUCAAAACUCAAAUCUAUGCUGCCCUAACAGGCUUGAAGGAAAGUUGGAUCAUUUCUAAUUGCCUCUCAAGAGAGAAGCAGGGCAUGCCUAGGCACCUCAGCCCCACCUACUAUCCACAGACUCAUAUGGGUGCCAAGCUGGCUAUACAGCCACCACCACCAGUAGAAUUUAUCAAAUGCAUUGAACAAGGACUGGUUGGCAGCCAAUUUGUACCUACCCUACUGGUUUUCUAGGAGUCCGGAAGGAAGGGUUGGGGAUAAGAUUCUUAAAUAUACAGAGACAUCAACAACAUUGUUAGGCCCUCAGAUUGAGCUAGUUCUGCUAACACACUGCAUGAUAUGUAAGCACAUGCAUUUGUGUUUGCUCAUUAGAGCCUAUACAUUAUGUAGUAAAAUGAAAUCUCCCAGCUUCUACUUUACCCCCUCUUUAAUCGAUCUCCAACACUGCAGCCAGGGUAAUCUUAAAUCCGCCAAUCUAAGUAUUGCCUUUUCUCCGCUUUAAAAACACUCCUUGUUCACAGCAGCAGCUGCCUGUUGAUAAUGAGAAUCAGCUGUGGAACUUUUUAAAAAAUUAAAAUUCUCCAACUAUACGCAGAGAUUCUGGUUCCAUGGCUGUAGGGUGGGGAACUCAGGAACCUCAAUUUUUAAAUUAUAAGCCACGUUUGCGGCCUGCUACUUUAGUUCUUCCAAAUGGUUUUUGCAUAUUUAGUUCAUAUGAGUCACACAAUGACUUCCGAAAAAGGUCCAUGAGACUAGAUCUGGCAACCACCGAGCAGUGAUGUAUGUGUUUCACAUACGUGUGCAAAGAACAGGCGCUGUUUAAAACUGCCAGUGUUUUACGCUCCAGGUGCCUCAGCCCCUGCCUCAGCAGCUAAGGAUAUGAUGUGCACAGGACGGUACAGCUACAAGAUGGUGGAGCCUCCAUCAGUCUGGAUCCCUAUGUAACUAUAUGGAUCAGAGCCCCUGCUCCCAAUACAACCCAAAAUUGGAUAUGUAAGAGGAACAAGAAAUACAUCAAGAAAUAUACACCUAUUUCAGCAAGUCACUUAGGUUUAGGGGUUCAUUUGGCAUCACAGAAUAAGCUUAGCUUAUUUUGACUGAUAGAUUUUGCAAAUGAUUAAGUUACAUUUUUAAUGAUAUAUUAAUAUGCUAAAGAUCACCUGAUUUGUUAAUGAUUUUGCUUUUCAAUUGUCUCUUGCCAUGUCUAUAUUCUGAAAAGUAUUCUGAGAUUGCGAAACUAUUCAUUUACCUUUUGUGUAUGUGAAUAAGUAUUUUCUUAAUACAACCAGAGGAAAACCAACAAACAACAAAAGCAAAAUGGGGAGAAUGCGGAGUUGCUGAAGCUAAAAAGAAUCUGUCGAUCAUUUAUCCUCCCAGUUUAAAAAUUUGGUUUCCUAUCAGCCUUAUUCUCUCAAUAAAUAUCUUUAUAAUCAAAAUGUAAAUUUGAACUUGUAAAACACAUGUAGGCUCAUAAAAUGCCAUUUUUAUGUUUUACAUACUGUUCUCCCAUAAAAGUACACUAGAAAAUGGUUGAAAAUAAUUACUUUAAGAGCUACAAAGAAUACAUCUCAAUUGUCUUUCACACAAUGCCCUUAACAUACUAAUCGCAACCUUAACCAUAAGACAUGAGCGGGGCCUUGGUGUUUAUCUAGUCAAGCCUUUCAUUUUUAUGGAUUGGGUCAUCAAGGCCGAGAGAGGUCAAGUGUACCUCUCAAGGUCACACACUUGGAAAAGAACAGAGCCAGAACGCAGGGUUUGCCCAUGGGAAAUGCUGCCACAUGACAUUUCCCUCCAUCUUUUACUCAAGCAAUUAACUGUUACUCUCUCAGUUCACCCAAACAUUUGGUUAAAGUGGCAUGAUGUCCCACAGCGGGUUUUCUGGCUGUGAAAGCUAGGUCAAACUAUUGACUUAUUUAUGUAUUGAGAUGUAGCUUUCUGAUCUGUAAAAUAAGAGCAAAUAGUGCCUAACUUGGAGCUCUUCUAUUAUUAGAAAGGACAUGAUGUAUGUAUUAGGCCCAUUGUUCUUUGGCUGUAAAUUAAAAAAAAAAAAAAUUCUAUUGAUUCCCUUCAGAAUUUCAGCCUAUUCUUCUAGACCAGGGAACAGCAAACUAUGGCCCAUGAACCAAAUCUGGCCGGCCAUCUGUUUUUAUAAAUUUGGUUUCCUUUGAACACAGCCAUGCCCAUUCAUUUAUGUAUUGUCUGCGGCUGCUUUGGGACUAUAUCAGCAGAGCUGACUAGUGUGACAGAGACUUUAUGGCCCAAAAAGCCUAAAAUAUUUGCUCCCUGGCCCUUUUCAGAAAAAUUCUGUUGGACUGUAUUCUAAACUGUUGGGAUCAUUUUGAUUCUUUCACCCACAGUGACAUUCGGUAUCCCUAAUUACUGAGUCAACCAUAAAUUUGCCUCUGUUAAGGUUGUUCAUAAAAAUAUUUAAUGAGACAUGAGAAAGGAAAGUCACAAGACACAGGUCAACUGACACCUUCAAGGAUGACAAUGACUACCACUCAUUGAACACAUUAAUCUAAAGAAGUAUGAAUCCACUAAAUGCUACCAUCACCCAGAACUCAUUUAUCAACAAUGCCACAUAUUAGUUAAACAUCUUUCUAAUACGCAGAAGAUAAGGUACAGACUCCAAGUGAUCACUGCUUUCCCCUCUGAAAUGGUUUCAAGUCUAUGAUGUUUCUAUACCCUUCAACUCCAUUUCAAUAGCAUUUUAAAAAUUCGGGCUAUUCGCCUAACUACAGUUUUCUGGCAGAUGUCUCAUUAUCCAGCUACAGAAUGGCUAGCUGUAACCAAACCUGAUUCUUCUUUUUUCUGGGCACAUAGUGAGCCUACAUUUCCCAGAUUCCUUUUUGGGCAGCAGUGCUCAAGUGAUUAUUUUUUAGCCAAUGGAAGGACUGCAAAAAUGGUGUGUGCUACUUCCAGGCCUGGCCAGAGAGUCCCUAUUGGUGAUCUCCAUGCUCUUUUCUUUUCACAUACUUGUAGCAGAUGAACAUGGUGACUUGAGAAGCCAUUUAUUAAAUAUGACAGAGCCUUGAGAUAGAAGGUACCUAGGUCCUUGAACCCACCCUUAGUGGAGAGCCACCACCACCCAGGAACUCCAAAUGUAGACUCAAACAAGAAUAAACUUCUCUUGUAUUUAAGCCAUUUUAUAUAUUUUGAAGUUUGUUACAGGAGGGAGUAUAACUGUCAAAAAUACACUAUGAUUCCUGUAAGGUUACUACCAAAGGUUUUGUGACCACAUAGGAAAAUAUUCUGGUUUUCUGGACCAAGAGGUUUCAAUUCAUGUAAAGUAGAUGUAGGUGUUCUUUCACUGUAUCCCUGUGUGCCUUAGCCUAAAAAUUUCAAUUUUACAGUAUUUGUUUUGUACUUCCUUGUAGCUCAUUCUUCUUAAUUGAGAAAAAUAAAGCAAAACUGUGGCCAAGUGUGGUUGUGCACACCUGUAGUCACAGCAACUUGGGACACUGAGCUGGGAGGAUCUCUUGAGCCCAGGAGUUCAAGCCUAGCCAGGGCAAUAUGGCAAGACCCCAUCUCUUAAAAAAAAAAUUAAAUAGGCAUUAAACUUACUCUUUCUUUUAAUAAAUUGUUAAACAACACAAGCCUCACCCAUCCAUCUUGUUCUCCUUUAUUGUAGGACUUUCCUUUUCACUAGUUUUUUUGGUGCUUAUAUAACCUCACUCUAUGUUUUGGCCUGAUACUCUUUCACAGUUUUAUGCCAGUCUUUUUUGUUUGUUUUUUGUCCCUGGUAAUAUGUUCCUCUUUUGUUUCUUCUAAGAACUAAGCUCAGAAAACAGCUUGCCAAAUCACACUGGUAUCGCCCCAUUUUGCUUUCUUAUUAAGAUUACUCAUGACUUUGUUUGCCAGAGUUUGAUUUUUUGGGUAUGCUACUAAUACUCAAUUAAGAAACCCUAUUCUACUGGAUGUUGAGAAAGAUUCAGCGCUCCCAUAACCACCUUACACCUCUGGCAACUUUUAUAGUCUGUUUGUAAAAAGCCUUAUUUCAUCCUGUAUCUAGACACAAUAUUCAAUAUUCUUUAACACUCGUACUUUAGUAUGCUGUGCGUGGAGAUAACAUGCUUCUAUUGAUCCUGAUGCUUCUCCAUCUCAUUUACAGAGAAGAUGCAGGGCAGGCUGUUGCCACUUCCUGACAUAUCUUUCUGGGCUUGCUCUUUCAGCCCCACGUUUUCACUCACUAGCUUCAAAAGCUAUGAGGUCCCAUUCAAGACAUCCUACUCUCUAAAGCCUUCUUUAUACCAGUUUGACUUAGCUUCAAUUGGCACAGAAAAAUCUGGGAAUGAAAGAUGUGAUUGUAAGCUCAUAUGGCAAAAAGAAGAAGACAGCUGUGUGCAAAAAAGUUUAUGGCUAACAGAAUGAUGUUUCUUUAGCUAGCAAAUUUAUAUGUUGUAAAUGUCAUUAGCAUGAUUGGAUGUAUUUGAUAACUUGUAGAGUUAUACUACUGUCUAUGUAGAUGCUUUCUUAAAAUUUUAGUUAAAAAGUAUAGAAGUGAGUUUUACCUCAGUGAAUUUCUGCAACAUGCAUAUAAGCUUGUCAUAAAUAAAUGAAGUAAAUUUACUUUAUAGUAUGCAUAUGUUCUAGUUUGAUUUUGGAACUAGUAAAAAGCAUGCUAUGUAUUCUUUCAAGUAUUGUGAACAAACAUAGGGUGUAUUUGUUAAAAACAAAGUUGUAACUAUUAUUGCAAGAAUUUGAACAUUGAAUCACUGGCAAAAUUUGAAUUUCAAAAUUUUAAAUUUGUCUUUCUCAGAUGUAAUUUAAAUAUAAUCAGUUUAGGGUAUUUCUAAAAAUUGAUUUGCAAAGAAAUAAAUGUUAUUUUUAUGCUAUCGAA